Peromyscus californicus insignis is the source of this 7079-nucleotide long non-coding RNA. RefSeq lists it as uncharacterized. Lineage: Eukaryota; Metazoa; Chordata; Mammalia; Rodentia; Cricetidae. The record is from RefSeq and is a predicted model, not a curated record. The transcript is spliced from 2 exons.
AUCAUAUCAAAUCAGUCUGCAAAUUUAUUAUUAUUUUUUUUAAAAAAACAUAGUAUUUAUUUAGUGUGUAUCUGUAUGUAUGUGUGUACACAUGUGCCACAGUGGGCAUCUGGAAGUCAGAGGCCAACUUGCAGGAGUUUGUUCUCUCUUUCCAUUAUGUGAGUUCCAGGUAUUGAACUGAGGUUGGCACAUUUGGUGACACAGGUCCUAGGCACUGUGAAGUAUGCCGAGAGUUUGCCUAAUGUAGCUCUUCUCAUUCAUAUGUCACAUCUGAGUGGCAGUAAGCAUCCGAAGAUGAUUCACAUGUCUCUUCCUCACCUCUAACUGCCUGCUGUAAAUCUUCCACCUUAGGAAGAGGGUACCAAGAAAGACAGGAGGAAAAUGGGAUGAUGGGAAAGGGAAUAUGGGAAGAAAAAGAGGCUGAAAUUUCUGAAGCCAUGUAAAGAAGAUGCUGAAGCCAAACAUUAUGGUGCACACCUAUGAUCCUGCACUUGGAAGAGUGUGGUCAAAGAGUUUCGAGUUCCAGGGUCAAUCUGGACUCAACAGGGAGACUGUGAAGGAGAGAACAAAUGUUAAACAAAGAGAUUGUCAACUGUGUCCAUUCUGCACAGACAUGGAAUAAAAUGAUUGCCCAUCAGGUUUGGCAAAGGAGAACUUACUGUUCAAUUUGAUGGGUGGUAUAAAAGCCUAACAGGAGUGAGUUAAAGAUUUGAUGAAGGGGAAGAGGGUGGAGAGGGUAACCAAAUAACGUUUUAGUGGAAUAUUUUGAGAAGUGAGGCCAGAAACAGAGAGCUAAUGAGUGAAUGGGUCAGCUGCUCAGUCACCAGGCAAGCAUACCUUUAACAUGCUUUAUUAUGGGAGCUGUAGUAAGUGCUGUUGCAUAACAGUAAGCCACCUCAGUAUCCGUGGCUUGUACUAACAAGAUUUACCUCUUACUUUAUAUGUUUGCAGCUGCGGCUUCCUAGUGAUGCUUCUGCUUAAGAUUGCAUGUCAAAUUCAGUCACCUUGUGUGUCAUUUGAUUCUGUGACUCUGGCUGAAGAAAUAGUGAUGUGCCCUUCUUGUGGCACAAGGUCAUGGCAGAAAGAGAUCUGGCUGAAUCAAACAAAUUUAAUAUUUUCACUUAGAUAUGAACUAGGUCAUAUUUUUAUACAUGCUGUUGGCUAAAUAAUCAACAUAGCCAAGUUCAGUGCCAGUGCAGUGGGAAGAAUGCCCUGCUUGGCAAGGGAAGUCAAAUGGGACCCUCUUACAAAGAGGGAAUAAAUGUUUGUGAACAGUGUUAAAAUGAACCGUAGAAUCUAUCCAUUCUGUUUUGUACAAAUACGGUCAUGCGUCUCAUCUAGAAGCCCUUUCUCCACACAUCAUUGAUCCUGGCAUGCAGCCUAGCUCUGGCUGGGAAUCAGCUCCUGAAAUACAAUGACAAAUGAAGAAUGACCAUACAUAAUUCAUAUCAGUGAUUUUUUUAAGAAACAAUUUAUCAGUUUCUAAUGCCACUGAAAAUACAAAGCUUAAUUCAAGAUAUCUUUAAAACUUAUUUUAGAAAGGAGAGGAACAUGGGAACCAUCUAGUUCAACUGGUAUAGUUGGUUUAUGGGUUGAAGGCAUAGUCCUUAAUAUGGCAGUGUUUAGGGGUUGAACCCUUGGAGAGUGAAUGAUUUAUGAGGACUCUUGGCCUUAUCAGUGGAUAACAUUAUUGAUAAGCUCAUCAUUUCUUCCUUCCCUCCUUUCCCUCUGCCAUGAUAUGAGCAUCUUUGGUUAACCUCUCACUUUCCACCAUGAUGCUUGGCCCCAGGCCCAAAUUGAUGGGACCAAGGGACGACAUACUGAAAUCUCUGAAAUCUUGAGACAAAAAUCCUUCCUCAUUUCAGUUGAUUUUAUCAGUUAUUUUAUUUUCAUAGCAAUGGAAAGCUGACUAACAAUCCAGUUCCCUUUAUUUGACAGGUAACGAAACUUGAGGCCAAACAAGGCAGCUUGACUUGUUCAAAUCUCAUGGGUAGGAAAUAUUAGACUAUGUGGCUCAGGGAACUCAUAUCUGUCCUUCUCUUCUUCCAGAGAAAAGGAACUCAGUCUACAAUGUAGUCCUCAGGGACACGUAACUAGACCUCAAGGCUAAACCCAGCAUGAAGGCACACUUUUCAGAGGGCUAUAAAGAGAUUAGAAGUGGUUAUUUCACAUUAUGGUUUCUGAGGUGGUGAUCUAUAUUGGAUGGCUCCCUCUCCCAUUCUGUUUCUUUCCCUUUUUUCCCAUUCUCCUCUUUCUCCAACAUGACUAGGAAAAAAGGACCAGCUCUAUAUACUCUUUCACUUGGGCAGGGGAUCCUUGGUAAGCCCAUCAGACAAUAUGGUGGAAUACAGAGGAUGCACAAAGAGUCUAACCCUAGUCUAGGCAGAGAAGCUUUGCUCUUACACACAUUCACCACUGUAGGGAAAUCUUAGGACUUUAGGAUGAGGAAUAGACUCUUGUGGGUAGGGAAGGAGCUGUGUAAUUAAGGGAAGAAUUAGAGUCUUGAGAAUCUGUCAACUUUUCCAUUUAUAACUAAGAAAUAUAAUUUGUUGUUAUAUCAUGCUAUAACUUUAAAUGGACUGAUAAGCAGGAAGAGUUUUUGUCUCUGAGGACAUGAUGUUCUAUGACUAUUUCAGUAAUGGAGAACAUGUUUGCUCUCUUGGCAUUCAUGAAGUUUAAUAAGUUAAAGAAUACAAGGAGAAAAAGAGAAGGAAAAACCUUAGACGAUAAGAACGUCAGACAUUACUGUGCACAACAUGUCUCAAGGUUGUUCUAUUCUGUUGUGUUCAAUAGCACAGCUGAGCUCAUGCAGUUCCAGCUCCUUCUCUUCAGGAUCUUUAGCUCCUAGCACAGAGCUUCACAUAAAAUAGGAACUCAGUCAGUCUGUGCUAAUGUUAGAUUGGAGACAUCUGAUUAAAGUUGAAGGUUAAUGUAGGGAAGGGGGGUCUGUGAUGGAGUCAAUGGAAACUUUAGCCACCAAGUAUAAUGUUUUAAUAUUGAUAAAGCUUUGUGGUUUAUGGCUCUUGGCUAUGUGCAGCGUCUAUUGUUUCCUCACAAUUCUAUGAUGCAAAGAGACUCUCAAUUCUUUCACUCAUAGGUCCAGAGAGUCCAGGAGGCUUGUCUGUUGUCUUACCUGGUGUGGCGGUCAUCUCAAACCCAGUUCUUUUCCUCAAAUGCAAAACAAGUUUUCUACAAUGAGGAUUCAUAGCUGCUGGAAGAUUUAAAAAGACAGAAGAUAAAUUCACUGCUUUCAUUAGAAUGAACAUGAACAAUGGAAGAGAAAGACUAGAAGUCAGGGACAAAUGGAUAGGACCCAGAGCCAAUGGCAUCCCAAUCUCUUUUCCACUGUAGCAGAGGUUCCAGUGGAGGUACAAGCAGCAUUUCCCGUUAGCAGGGGAGCAGAAGCCAAAGAAGGAACACUUCCCUUUCCUCCAGAUCUUGCAAGGAGGAUACUCUCAACAACUUAAAACUAGGAUUUCCAUGUUACCCAGCUAUAUCACUCCUGGACGUAGACCCAAAGGAUUCCAUGUUCUACUACAGAGACACCUGCUCAUCUGUGUUUAUCACUCUAUUCGCAAUAGCAAAGAAAUGGAACCAGACUGGAUGUCUAUUAACAGAUGGGUGGAAACUGAAAUUGUGGUACAUAUGUAUCCACUGUUUCCACAACUCUCACAUUUAGUUAUGAUUUUUAAGAAGCUGGAUAGUGGAACGACUGGUCACCUUGGUUGAUACCUCAAAAUUCCAAGGCCCCCUCUCCUUCUGUCCUCACCAAGAGACUAAUGCUCUUCUCCAGAGCUCCUGAAUUAGAUCUGGGAAGGGGUGAGGUCAGAAUGCAUUUUGUCUUACCACCACAUAAAAGUCUUCACUCUCGCCGGGCGGUGGUGGCGCACGCCUUUAAUCCCAGCACUUGGGAGGCAGAGCCAGGCGGAUCUCUGUGAGUUCGAGGCCAGCCUGGGCUACCAAGUGAGUUCCAGGAAAGGCGCAAAGCUACACAGAGAAACCCUGUCUCGAAAAACCAAAAAAAAAAAAAAAGUCUUCACUCUCACUCAUGCUAGACCUCUUUGGGGGCUCAUGCCAGGUGAGCAAAACACCCCUUAUACUGUUCUACUGGGCAUUAUUUGUGAAUGUGCCAUUUCUUAUUUAUUUGAAAUGUUUUUUCCCCCUUCACUCUCCUACUUGUACUUUUGCCUUGAGUUCUGAUGCUUUAUGUUUAUGCAAUAGUUGUCCAAUGCCAUGACUUCAGAGUUAGGUUGAUCUUAGAGUUAGCUUUGCAGUGUGAACUGGUCUCCGGUUUUGUUACAUAGAUGACUAUUUUUUUUAUAUGUUGAACUAUAAAUAUGUUGACUAUUUAAUGUGUUGAACUAAAUUUAUAAUCUACCCCUUCCAAACUUGCUAUUAUUUCUAAAUUCUGGUAGUUAACAAUGUCACUAACCUCUUAGUUUCCCAGGUCAGAAAACAAUGAGUCAUUCUGAAUCGUCUCCCUUUUGGGACAUUCCAUAUCCAAUUCAGUUACUGUACAACACACUCUUCAAUCCCCUUCAGUCCAUUCCAUGUUUCUUUUUGUGUUUCCAUUGCUUUAUCACAGGUUUAGUUAUAGAGAACUUCUAUCUCCUAACUGGUUUCUAUUUUUAAAGCUCAUUCUCUUCAAUAAUCUUUCUAAAACAUAUAGGACCAUUGUUGUGUGGUAGUCACCAGAGAAGACUGCUUGGACAUGAAGUUAAGCCAAUAGAAAGUCUUUAUUAGCUUACCACUGACUACACUGGGUGUCUUGAAUCCCAGUGACUACACGGCUCUUUCUGAUGGUGAGCUUUUAAUCACAAAAAAACCAUGCCCUGGGUUGACAUACUUCAGUUAACAAGAACAGUUAGCCAACUACAGAAGCCAAAAAACAAGGUAAGUAUAUUUAGAGACUUUCCCAGAUCAAUGGACUUUGAUGGAUUAGGUCUUUGUUUUCAUUUUGGCUAGUAUGCUGUCUACAUGCUGAGUUUUACAGCCAGAAUGGCACUUCCAUCAUGGAGUCAGUUGUGCUAAGGUCUAGAGCCUAUUAAGGUCAGGAGCCCUGUUAUGACCUUCUCUUCCUUCCUUUGCUGAAGUCAUUCUAAGGGUAUUUUCGCUUUCAAAACACAACUCAAUCUCACCUCUCUAAGCAAAAGUCUGCCAUUGCCUUUUAGACAAUUAGACAGUGGUCUCUGUUUAAUCCAACCACUGUAUCUCUGGUUAGGAGACACCUAGAACUUUCCCACUUGGUCUUCUCUCUGCUUCUUCCAAAUGUUCAUUCAUAGCAACCUUUUAAAACUCAGACUGAUUGUCUGGUGUUACAUUUAUGGGAAGAUUCUCCUUUUAGUUGUUUUAAAGGAUUUGCUUAUGAUCUAGUCAGAGUCUUCCAGGCCCUUGCCUGGGAUUUUUUAAUCCUGAUUUCAGUCGUGAAGAUCCCCUGUUGCCUUUUGGGUCAAAAUGCUGUGAGGAUGUGAAGUUGGAGUUCCUACCACUUGGAAGAUGUGCACUGGUGGAGAAAAAGUCAUCACCAUCAGAAGAAAGGAAAGAUGAGGACUGGAGCAUGGGCAAGAGGGGCAAACCAAGUCUUGGUGACACGGAGGCUUAAAUUAUGCUUGAUAUGGAAUCUUUUCUAGUCAUCUUCAAUUAUUAGUUGAUUAAAUACACUGCCUAUCACUUCUCCCCUUUCUGUGGUGCUGAGGAAAAAAACCCAGAGUAUCUCAAAAGCUAGGUAAGUGCUGUAGCACUGGGCCACAUACCAUUUUCUCCUGAUUCUCCCCCCCCCCCCACUAAAUUAGAUUGAUUUAGCGCUUAUCACAUUAGGUCUUAACAGUCCAAGGAGGUGCACUAGGCUUGGAGAUCUAGCGUUAUUUACAGGAUGGUUACGAUUUUGGCUCUGAUGAAACUGUAUAAAUUUGAUAGAUUGAUUUCUUUGGGACUUUACAGACAUGUGAACUACAGGUGUUAACAUUUAAGUUUAUAUAAAGAAUGAUGCCGGGCAGCGGUGGUGCAUGCCUUUAAUCCAAGCACCCGGGAGGCAGAGCCAUGUGGAUCUCUGUGAGUUCAAGGCCAGCCUGGUCUACAGAGCGAGAUCCAGGACAGGAACCAAAACUACAUGGAGAAACUCUGUCUCAAAAAACAACAAACAAACAAACAAAAAAGACACACUUAUGGGCAGUUCAAAUGUCUUAAUUAGUACUGGAAUGAACACAGCAAAAUGUAUGCAUGUUCUUAGAAAGCUUAUUUGUAAUUAUCUAUCACUUAACCAAAUGGGUCUCAACUCUGGAUAUGCAGUGCAGUCAUGUGGAGUACUUAUAGAGUGACCAAUGACUAGGAACAUCCCAGGCAAAGCAAACCAGAAUCUCUGGGGGGUAAGUGACAAAUGUUGGUAUUGUUCAAAACUUCCCAGGUUUCUACUUUUAGCAAGUGUGAGACUGUCAGCUUUACAGAUCUAGAAUCACCUAGGAAAUCUCUGAGCAGGUCUUUAUUUUUAAUAAUUUAUAAUAAUAAUAAUAAUUGGUAUGUAUGAUGUGUACAUAUGAGAUCAGGCAUGCGCAUGCCAGGGUGUAUGUACGGAGGUCAGUGAAAGACCCUAGCCCUUCAGGCUUACACCCCCAAGCCCCAGGAAAUAAGGAACUAAAAAGAAAACUAAUUCCAAGGGUCACCUAACUCAGCCACUACUCAAUCACCCCUAUAACAAUAUAACAAUGUAAAAAGAUUUCUGUUAAGAGAUGCGCUCAACUGUGACUGGGAUAGUUGCAAGUGUUCCAGGAAGGACCACUGUGACCUUUGUGUAAACUCCACUCCCGCCCUGAUACCCUCCUUGAGGUUUCGGGAAAGAUGUACACACUGAUGUAACUGUACCCCCUCUGUGAUCACUCUGUGACCAGACUAUGAUCUUAUGAAAUUAGCCUCUAGACAUAAAUCAAUUGAAACAAAAUUGUAUGGGAAUUGUAAUCUUGUGGUUUUUGUGGGCUUUUCCUUUAAAAACCCCCAUGUGGCUGCAGUAAGAGGCGACUCUUGCUCUUAGGAGCAGAGUUUGCCUGUCUGUACAGUUGCUAAUAAACCUCUUGCUAUUGCAUCAA